This 253-nucleotide ribosomal RNA is filed under the name uncultured bacterium. RNAcentral's name for it is "partial 16S ribosomal RNA". It matches the Rfam family "Bacterial small subunit ribosomal RNA", at positions 524 to 776 of the family's 1533-position model. The record is from RNAcentral.
GACGAACCGUACGAACGUUAUUCGGAAUCACUGGGCUUAAAGGGUGCGUAGGCGGCGGCAAAAGUUGGGUGUGAAAUCCCUCGGCUCAACCGAGGAACUGCGCUCAAAACUGUGUCGCUUGAGGGAGAUAGAGGUGAGUGGAACUUAGGGUGGAGCGGUGAAAUGCGUUGAUAUCCUAAGGAACACCAGUGGCGAAAGCGACUCACUGGGUCUCUUCUGACGCUGAGGCACGAAAGCUAGGGAAGCGAACGGG